This 1936-nucleotide long non-coding RNA is filed under the name Triticum aestivum (bread wheat). Its description in RNAcentral is "long non-coding RNA (TAES_LNC001847)". The record is from RNAcentral. Lineage: Eukaryota; Viridiplantae; Streptophyta; Magnoliopsida; Poales; Poaceae.
UUGGAAGUUAGUAAACUUUUAAGCCAAGAUAUCUUGUACUUAUAGUACUUCUUUAGAAGAGUACGUUGAAGAUGUUGUAGAUCGAUGUUAGCUCCGUUCAUUAUUACUAUUUUUUCUGACAUGCACGAUGUUGUUAGUGUUGUCAUUAAGUCAUAAUUAGAGAUUGGGUUACAACCGGAAUCUGGACAACAAAUAUUUGACUGUAUUGUAGAUCGGCGUUAGGCCUUUGAAAUGUUUCAAUUUAGUUUGACAUGCAGGAAUAUUUAAAUAUGCUAAGUAAGAAAACAUUUAUGUUGUUACUGGUCAUUGGAUGAUUAAAUGUGUUGUUAUUUCGUGUGCUAUGUUUAUUAAUAAGUUGUAUAGUUAGAAAACCAUAGGUCUAUUUUAUUGUCUCGUAAUAAUCUAAGUUUUGUAUAUUAACUUACCUGGCCGAUGAUAGCAGUGCCAUAUUGUGUUAAUUUGGUGUAGGUUGGUGUUGUUUGGUUGCCCAAACGUUCAUCGUGUCAAUGUUGCUGUCCUAUUAACUGACCUGGCCAAUGAUAGUAGUGCCAUAUUGUGUUAAUUUAAUGCAGGCUGCUGAAGAUAAGAAGAGAAAGUCUCAAGGCAGCAAGGCAACCCCGUUGUUUCUCUCCAAUAAAUCUAGUGCAGGCAAUAUGAAAAUUACUCUUGAUUAAUCUUUCUAGUUUCCCCCUAAUUAAAUUAUGAUGCAAUGAUCGAGACACUCUCCACUAUUGGUGAUACAAGCCUACCAAAAUCGCCAUUAGAAUCUGUUCAGUUUUCUUUGUCACGAAUCAAAUGAAAAAGAUGUACGUUUGUCAAGCAAUUAGUGGCUGAAGCAACAAUGAAAAUCAUGGAGGAAUCAGAGGUGCACAUUCUUGCACAACAACUACUAUUCGAUGAUUUCAGUGACGAUGUAGCAAAGAACAUUUUUUUUCUUAGAUGCUUCACCAUGCCGAUGCCAUCAUCACCACCAUGACUGCACCGUCGCCACCAGAUUGGUCGUGGAGGGACUAGUGUUCUUAUACGGGUUAGGAUGCCAAGGUAAUUCAAGGUGUGAGUAAAAGCCUCAAUCCCGAGUCUUUGCAAUUGAUAGGGGAGUAACAGGUAAACCCAUAUCUGGCUGCAUCCACGGGGAAACCCUUAAUUGACUGUAUGUGAUAACUGGCGUGGGGAAGCUACAAUUGGUGGUGGAUGUGGCAUGAAGUUUAUGUUAGAGUAUAACAUGUUAUGUAUUAGGAACCACCCACUUAUGCAUGCGAAGGAUGGAUAGAGGAUAGGAUAGAGAGCGUUUGCUCCACACAUGUUGCACAUGUCAUUUUUGUAGUGAUGACUUCGAAACACUCAAGAACACUUUACUACCCAAGCACCGUCCUACUAACUUAGUCUAAUUUAUUCCUGCUUUUACCUUCUUGUUCGUAGUGUAGUAAACACUUUUAAUCUAGUUUCUCUAGCAAUUUAUAGAGUAGACUAUUUCCAAACUCUGGUUUGGGUGCAUACGUGACUGCGUUAAGUCACACCGUAGUUGUGGGGUUUGUGGUUCCUUCCUUUCCGCUCCCUAUGGGUUCGACACUUACUUAUCAUGAAAGUUGUACAACAACCCUAUGCACUUGCAUGGCAUCAAGAAACAAUGGCACUGGAAACUAAACAUGGCACUGAAAGUGCAUAAAUCUGAGAAUAAAACAUUACCUGAAGAGACAUUUGAACUAUUCUACCUUAAAAAGACAAAGAAAGAUGGCUUGCUUGGUGACAACCAAAACAUGAUUUAGGCGGGGUUUGGGCAAACACAUUGACCUCGUCCCAUUUGGCAAUUCCGAGACCCAAAAUAAGGUAAGACCUUCAAUGCUCCUAAGAAUUUAAUGAAUAAUUUGGAUGUCCACAUCAAAGCAUGUGGAUAUCGACAAACGGCUUAGAUAAGAAUCUAGGCAUACAAAAACAU